Long non-coding RNA from Daphnia pulicaria, 678 nucleotides. RefSeq lists it as uncharacterized. The transcript is spliced from 4 exons. The record is from RefSeq and is a predicted model, not a curated record. Lineage: Eukaryota; Metazoa; Arthropoda; Branchiopoda; Diplostraca; Daphniidae.
AAACCCCCCUGAAGGGAUAGGCGAACACCCGCAAGACUUUUUGAACUGCGGAAAGUAUUAUAGUGUUUUCAAGUAUCUUUUUGAAGAAAAAGAAAAUUUUGAACAAAAGAUUAAGUUCACACGUCAUUAAUUGUAAAAGUUAUUGAUUCCUGUGGGGAAUAAAAAUGGGGGAAAUGAGCUGUUUGAGAGUCCAUGUCAAUCAAACGAUUUCAUCAGCCAAUGCAAGUGACCAGCAUUGACGUUUCAUUAUCUUCAAUUGCCACCCCCCACAAAAACUACCUAGGCUGAAAUCAUCAUUCUGUAGAGUUACCUGGAUGACGACGAGCAGUAAUGCGAUGCCGGAUAGCCAACCGGUUUUAGGUUCCAUCCAGCGAGCGAAUUCUUCCGCGCAACCACCACCCGCAAUAUUUCCGGUCGAAGGAUUGCGGCACUCGUCUGGCAAGACCUUGUUAAACGCCGCAUAGUCUUUCCAGUCGGAAGGACCGCAACAUUCAAUCUGUCACCAUUUUCAUAACGAUGCGUGCAGAUCUUUCGUUGUGAUCCAUCUCGUGAAAGAGGACAAAGAAGCGCUCCUCCAACCACGGAGUCAAGUCAGACUUGUAGAUUCCAUGAUCGAGAGUGUAGGCUAGUCCGGCUAUCCCCAGAAUGACCGACAAAACGCUGCCCAUCACGAACUGU